CGGGACCCGCACAAGCGGUGAUGAUGUGNUUAAUUCGAUGCAACGCGAAAACCUUACCUACCCUUGACAUGCUAGAAUCUUGCAGAGAUGUGAGAGUGCUCGAAAGAGAACCUAGACACAGGUGCUGCAUGGCCGUCGUCAGCUCGUGUCGUGAGAUGUUGGGUUAAGUCCCGCAACGAGCGCAACCCUUGUCAUUAGUUGCUACGAAAGGGCACUCUAAUGAGACUGCCGGUGACAAACCGGAGGAAGGUGGGGAUGACGUCAGGUCCUCAUGGCCCUUAUGGGUAGGGCUAUACACGUCAUACAAUGGCCGGUACAGAGGGUUGCCAACCCGCGAGGGGGAGCUAAUCCCAGAAAACCGGUCGUAGUCCGGAUCGUAGUCUGCAACUCGACUGCGUGAAGUCGGAAUCGCUAGUAAUCGCGGAUCAGCUUGCCGCGGUGAAUACGUUCCCGGGUCUUGUACACACCGCCCGUCACACCAUGGGAGCGGGUUCUGCCAGAAGUAGUUAGCCUAACCGCAAGGAGGGCGAUUACCACGGCAGGGUUCGUGACUGGGGUGAGGUCGUAACAAGGUAGCCGUA
This 581-nucleotide ribosomal RNA is filed under the name uncultured bacterium. Its description in RNAcentral is "bacterial SSU rRNA". It matches the Rfam family "Bacterial small subunit ribosomal RNA", at positions 914 to 1504 of the family's 1533-position model. The record is from RNAcentral.